This 465-nucleotide ribosomal RNA is filed under the name uncultured bacterium. RNAcentral's name for it is "partial 16S ribosomal RNA". It matches the Rfam family "Bacterial small subunit ribosomal RNA", at positions 338 to 795 of the family's 1533-position model. The record is from RNAcentral.
CCUACGGGCGACAGCAGUGGGGAAUUUUGCGCAAUGCUCGUAAGAGUGACGCAGCGACGCCGCGUGAAUGACGAAGGCCUUCGGGUCGUAAAGUUCUUUCGACAGGGAAGAAAAUGCCUAUAAGUAACUGUGUAUGUAUUGACGGUACCUGUAUAAGCAGCCCCGGCUAACUCCGUGCCAGCAGCCGCGGUAAUACGGAGGGGGCGAGCGUUGUUCGGAGGGACUGGGCGUAAAGAGCACGUAGGCGGUGUUGUAAGUCAUUAGUCAAAGACUAGAGCUCAACUUUAGUAAGGCUAGUGAUACUAUAAUACUAGAGUGUCAGAGAGGAUUGCAGAAUUCCUGGUGUAGCGGGGAAAUGCGUAGAUAUCAGGAGGAAUACCGUUAGCGAAGGCGGCAAUCUGGCUGGAAACUGACGCUGAGGUGCGAAAGCGUGGGUAGCAAACAGGAUUAGAUACCCCUGUAGUC